This 7404-nucleotide long non-coding RNA is filed under the name Ananas comosus (pineapple). RNAcentral describes it as "long non-coding RNA (ACOM_LNC043626)". The record is from RNAcentral. Lineage: Eukaryota; Viridiplantae; Streptophyta; Magnoliopsida; Poales; Bromeliaceae.
AAAGAGAAAGAAGUAAAUAAAUAGUAAAAGAAAAUUGGGUGUCAGGAGAGGACUUUCUCAGAGAAAAUGAGCAAGAAGCUUCCGCGUCUACCUAUCUGUCGAAGCGUCCCUUCGGGCAGAACUCUUCUUUGUUCCCCAGCUCUUUUUCUUUUUCAUACAACUUUGUCACCCGUGCUGUGGUAAUGGUUCACUCCGACGCAUUGGAGAAAGACAGGGAUGGGGUUAUGGUUGAUGUCCCCUGCUUGUUCAUCUGCAUGGAGAGCCCGCUUCAAGACCUCUGUGUUCGUGGCAUGGGGGAGUAAGCUGGUUCCCUUGAAAAGGAGGGCAAAGACUACUAGGAGAUAGACGAUCACAUUAUAUGGCUUUUAAGCCUUUUAUUUAUAGCUUGAAAUCAGUUUAACUGGUUUCACGCUCCUGCCAUGUGAAGCCUUUCAGGCUUCCACAAUUUUACUAGCUUUCACUCAACACCUUCCAAAAGCCCUCGAUUUCUUAGUUUAAGACGUUUUGACGUCUAAAACUCGAGAGCCCCUGGCCAGGGACCACCCUCUCUGGCCAGGGGCUUGCGCAUAUUCUACUCUAUCGGCUUUUUAGCCGAUUCAGGAUCUUCCUAUCGAGAGCCCUUGGCCAGAGACGGACUCUCUGGCCAGGGGGUCUCUGGCCAGGGUAUUCCUCUCUGGCCAACGAGACGCGCGUCGUCGAGACCGACGCGACCCUGUUGCAAGCCCUUGGCCAGGGACGAGCCCCUCUGGCCAGAGACAGACGCUUUUGACGGGUCGAGCCCGUCACAUUAUUUCACCUUCAACUCCCCAAAUAAUCGUUAAAACGUUGGGUUCCCAAUACAACCCCGACUCCCUCGGAAGGAGAGAGUAAAGGAGUGGGAGAGUGUGCCGAUUUGGAGUUUUCCCACGUCAAAUUCUCGGUGUGCUGUUUUAAUUUCCGCUACUUUGUUUUGUUUGCAUCGAGUUUUUCGAGUUUGCCGGAUUUACACCUAUUCACCCCCCUCUAGGUGUUACUUACCUUUUAGAUCCUUGGGAUCCAUAUCUCACACAUAAAACCAAACCCUAACAAAGAUCUUGCAAGAAACCUCACCUUGGCCCACUAACACUCCAAGCUCCAUCUUGUAGGAGAGCUCUUGUUCCUCCAAAGCUCCAAAUCCACCUUCAAAUCUCCUCCAAAAGCUUUCUUGGAGAGAUCUCUAGAUAGAGAGAAGGAGAGGAAUGGAGUAGAGAGAGUGAGGGACGGUGUUCUCUGCAUGUAUACAAAGAUGGAGGAGGUUGCAGUUAUUUAUAGGCUGCCACAAUUACAUUUAGACCCUCCAACAAUCUAAAAUGGCAACAGUGUCCAUUCUGCAAUUUUAACAUUGGGUGCUGGUACUCGGGCUUGAGUACCUGUACCCCGGGUGGAUAGCCAAACCCGAGAGCAACCCAUUCUACGCAGGCCACUGGGUAUCGGUACACGGGCUCGAGUACCGGUACGCGAGUGCCCUAGUAUCGAUACUCCGACUCCAGUACCGGUACCCCGCUUCGCAAUAGCCAAACCCGAGAGCAACCUCAUCUCAGGUUAUUUAUCUGGUACCGGUACUCGACAACCAGUAUCGGUACGUCGCCCUGCUCUCCCAAACCCAAGAGCAGACUUUCUCUGCUUCGCUGCCAGGUACCGGUACAAAAUCCUAGUACCGAUACGCAGUGCCCAGACUGCAGUUUUAGCAGUUUAAGCUCUAUUUCGCGCCGAUCAAUGUUAAAACCAGCCAAACACAUCCGAAACUUAGCUUUAGCCUUUCCGACAUUAUUGGAACAAUAUUCGGACUAUGUCCAAUCUUCCCUCUUGCCACCUUUUGGUCAUUUUGACCAAAAGUGGUACAAAGUGCUGGGAAGCCGAAUCCUCACAAUACAUAUUAUAUUAUACCCUCCAUGUUCUAUUAUGAAUAAGACUAUUCUAUUAUAUCCUAAGAGUGUAAAUUUGUAAUGUCACGCCCCGAGACCCGUCUCUUUGAUCGGAUUCGAGCACGCUGACAGACCGCCGAACGAACAGAGUUUUUCCCGUAUGUCCAAGGCAUCGCAACAGUACAAGUUAAGUGGUUCCAAACAGGAACAGAUUUCACAUACUGAAUGCAUAAGGAAAGGUACCGAAAACAUAAAGUACUUAACUGUUACAAGCAUUCAGCACUCAUCCCGCACAUGGCCCGGCUGCCCACAUAGGAUGCAUUUCCCAUCAUGCAGCGCACAUCGCCGUGCCCAAUGGGAACCACCACAAAUCACGCAGCCUGGGGAGGAUCGGGUAGAGGAUAACUUCGAGUGUUGCUUGAAACUUGAUUGACCACCCGAGCUGCUCGAUAGUAGCCUCACUCCUCCCCGCUCACGUUUAAAAGAUUCACGCUCCUCCCACACGAAAGUAUUGCCUUGUUCUACCCACAAGGCCCGAUCCAAGACUUUGGCAAAAGUUUGCAACUUAAGUAUAUGCACAGCUUUGAAAACGUCCGGCCGAAGUCCCCGCAUAAAGCAGUCAGCUUGGUCUUUGUCAUGCCGCACCACAUACGGGACAUAGCUCACGAUACGGAAAAAUUCCCGCUUGUAUUCCCUCACCGAGCGGUCUCCUUGCCGCAGCUUCCUGAACCUAUCCUGAAACUUUCUCUUUUCACUAUCGAAAAAAUAAGCAGUAAAUAUCAAUUCCCGAAACUCUUCCCAAGUCAUAGGAGGAAGACUAGGCGAUCGGUUUCGUCUGACGCCUUUCCACCACACCUUUGCCAUCUGUUUCAAACAAUGCACGGCUAGGUGCACCUUGUCCCGCUUCAAGGUGUACAGAUCCUCAAAAAGAGUUUUCAUGGAGUCGAUCCACAUCUCCACGAUCCACGGAUCUACAUUCUCUCCAUCAAAGGUAGGCGGAUCGAAUUUCUUGAAAGUCAUGAGGGUCUCCAGAGCUCGCUCCUUCUUCGCCUCCAUCUCUGCAUUAUCGGGAGUCGGAUUGCCCGAACUGGACGGAAAGAUCUCCGCCGCAACUCCCGAUCGUACUCGACGGGCCGCAAUUGGUGCGGUUACCAGCUGCUCCACAAUUUCUUGGAGUCUCCUAAUCCGCUCCUCCUGGCGCACAACAGCCUCCUGCUGACGCUGCACCACAUCAGCUUGUUGCCUCGCCACUCCAACAAGUAUGGCCAACUGAUCGCGAAGUUCCAAGUCUCCACUCACCUCGGAUUGCUCAGGGACAUCACUUGUCCCAUCCAGCGCCGAUCUAGUUGAAGAUCGCCUACGCAGUGCCAUCGUUUCCUAAAACAUGACAACACGGUCAAUCCUCGACCCUCUAGGUCAAACACGUAAUAAUUAACACCGACCCAGGCUUAAAUUAGGCGAAAGUCAUACAAGGGAGCCUAUUCUCAUCACUCGGUUUUCUGUUGUGCGCGCCCAACACGAACACACUUGGUCGAGAAUAAACUACACCUUGAGUCUACCUUUAACAUCCUUUUUAUAGGCAUACAACACACGACCCAAUCGAUUCAUCUUUUGCCACGAAUCACAAGUUCUCGUCUCUCACGAGCCUAAGUUCUAUGUGGUUUACUAUCCUAGGGUCUCCGAGGUCCAACUAAACUGUUUUCUUUAUUUUCUUUAUUCUCUUUAUGCUCUGAUACCACAUUAUAUGUCACGCCCCGAGACCCGGCUCUUUGGUUGGAUUCGAGCGUGCCGACAGACCGCUGAACGGACAGAGUUUUUCCUGUAUGUCCAAAGCGUCGCAACAAUACAAGUCAAGUGGUUCCAAACAGGAACAAAUUUCACAUAUUGAAUGCAUAAGGAAAGGUACCGAAAACAUAAAGUACUAAACUAUUACAAGCAUUCAGCUCAUUUACAUCCAAUUUACAUUUUACAUUUUCUUUGCUUCCACAUACAACCAACUAUUACAAAUUAUCGCAAUUUGGUUCUUUCUUUUCGUUUCCAUACCCCUAUGCUAGACCAACUCGGGAUACUGCUAUCUCUGGUCUCAGUGGUAGGGCUCUAUCUACUGAGCUACGCCCUUUCGGACCUGAAAAACGUAGGGUGAGAACUAUAUAAAUAGUUCCCAGCGGGUACGGCCACCCAGGGGAAGAGCUCGACCCACCAGGUCCAAAGGAGGCACAACAACAUGUUAGUCCAACAGAUAUACACAUAUAAUUUAUGCAAGUAUUAAAUACAUGCGUAUGCCUCACAGCAUGCAAUAUGCGAUUCAUGCAAGGAGAUCUACUGAUUUUACUUUCUAUCUCACUAUCCACAGUGUAAGGACUGAGAAUUUGACUGUGUAGCUAAACUCUGUGUUGUUGAUGUUUUUGUGUGUAAUUUAAUUGCAUAAAUACUCGUCAAGUUUCAGGAGAAAUCGAGUUAAGAUGGAGAAGUUACGCGAUCAUUACUAUUCACUUAAAGUAAAUAGUAACUACGAUUUUUCGGAGAGGCCAAUUAAUGGAGAUGGCUUCUGGUGCGUAUUGGACUUCGUUCAUAGUGAUCCAAUAGCUCAUUUUCAAUGGUUCGACUGUCCUGAACCCAAUGGCGCUGACGGAUUUUAGAUCUGAUGCACGGUUUUCGAGAAAAAGGAGGUUUAUUGUAUUUACACAUAUACAUAUGUGUGGUUUUUUUUUGGUAUUUGGCGAGUGGAUGGGCUUCGUCAUGAAUCUGUGAUCAAAAUGGACGAAACGAAAAGGUAGAUUCGAUGCCCCAGUCGUGCUGAACGCUCUGGCGUGAUCCGAUCGGAAAUCCGAUGAACGGAUCUCCGGGAAUCGCGAAUUGUUCGUUCAGGGGUCGAAAUUGGCAAAACGAAAAAAUUGCGAGAAACGUAAUAUUUUAUGCGUCGUUUUGCGUGAUUUCGAACGUUGAGGGGCUUGUGUGCAAAUUACACGUAAUGGCAGGGACUUAGCUAAAAAUAUUGGACUCUGGAGGGCUUUUCUGCAAUUAUACACCCUUUGUAUAAAAGUAGUGUUAGGGUUUCUCACAUGGAACCCUAAUCCUAAUCCACCCCAGCUAACCCUAGUCCACCCUAGCCAUCUUCAGCCUGCCUUUGCCCUUGUCGUGCGCGCACCUCGGCAGCCGGCAAGUGCUCCGGCCGCCGAAAAAUUCGUGCUCAGCCUCUUCUCCACCUUCCCCUGCACCUAGCUGCCACCUUCCUCGGUCGUGGUGCUCGGGAGGUCACCAUCCACGUCGAGCCUCCACCCUCUGGCCGAGACCUUUCUCCGGCGCCGUUCCUGCUGGCCCCCGCUGUCCCCGUGCGCCGCCGGCGUCGCCUGAGCUCUCUGCGGCCACCCGCGGCCAGCUCUGGCAGAGUCUGUGACAGCUCGUGGCCGCGAGCUAUUGUGGCAACUGGGCAGGUCACGCCGCUCUUCCACCGUCUCCGGUGACUCUCGGCUCACAAUCGCCAUCGUUCUCGAAGCCGCCGGCUGCUGCUUAUGCUCCCUGUGGCUGCCUAGACUUUGUGUGGGUCGAGGCGGAGCCACCUUGGCCUCCGCGAACCGCCGCGGUCUAACGUCGAGCACACCGCCCUCUAUCGGCCACUGGCGACCGAUCGCCGUCGCCCCAUCGCUCCCCUGGCCGCCGCCCGGCCAUCGUUGCCUCUCAAACCCGAGCCGACCCGCACUGGUUGGAUCUCCUCCGCCACGCCACCGGCCGCCUCCUGCAGCCGGCCAGUGUGAGCCCCGGCCCCCACUGACUGGCUGCACCCUCCUCUGGCCGGCCCGCCUACCGUACGGCAGCCGCUGGCCACCUCGUGCCCUACCUUGCUCCAGUAAGGUUUUUAUCUACAUUCUGUGCAUUGUUUGGGAUUCCGGUCGCUUUUCCGGCGAUCCGGAGGUGCCCCGACACCCCCGGAAGUGAGAACGAUGAUCCCUGAUCCGUGCCGAACAUCGUGCUCAUCUCCAUUUGGGUCAGCGAAGCCCCAGUGUGCUUAUGAAACGCAGUUUAACCACUGAGCGCUUUGUUUCGCUGACUUCGCAUCGCUCGCACGGUUGCCACAGUAGCUGGUCGUGCUCCGAAGUGUGAGAACGGUCUCCGGCACAUCGAGACCUGACAGCGGGUGUCUCGGCCAGGUCAGGAAAUCCUCAGUUUGCGCUGUCGGGUCGUAAAACCCCGAAAAUCAUAUAAAAUAAUGUGAUUUUAUGUAAUCAGGAGUGCUUUUAUGCAAUUGUUUAAAUUGUGGUUACUGUUGGCAGCGUGUGCGGGCAGCGAGUAACCUCUGGACUGGUUGUCCAAGGCCCCAAGCCUUUCCGAAAAUUAAAUGUUGAUUUUCGAUGUGUUUCUCGGUGAAAUCCGUCGAUGGAACUCGUUUUCGGUUCGGAAUUCUUCCGACGGUGCCUCGCGGUAGAUCACGUGGUCGCUGAGCAUUGUUGGUUGGUCACUCGUGUUGUUUCAAGGGUUCGGAAAUGACGGGUGAGCGACGGUGGGUUUCGGUGUCGAAUUGGACACUUUCGGGAACCCGGAUCGGAACGAUUAUCCGACAAUAAUCGUUUCGAUGUGAGGCAGUGUGUUUUCUGCCAAGUCUUAUGAAUAAUGGUGUUUAGUGGCAUCGGAUGACUCGUAGCAUGAGUCGGUGAGUUUCGGGACAGUUCGUGGUUCCUGGCGGAGUCCCAGUGCGAUUUUUGGGACUUCCGGCGUGUUCGGCAUCGGUUUUGGGAAACCGAUUCCCGUAGGGUUUAUUGGUGGGGAUUGUGAGUUAGUGUUUUGUGUUCGUGGGUUGGAUUCUAACCCGGUGGACCAUUCGUAGGUCCGGUUAUUACUUCGUUCGCAGUCGAAAGAUCAGUACCGUUGUUGAAGCAUAAAAAAAAGAGACAGGAAUAAAAAAGAAAAAAAAAAAGAAGAAAAAGAAAAAGAAAAAAAAGGAGAGAGAAAGAAAUAAAAAAAUAGAGAUGGUUUAUGAGAUUAUCCAUGCACCAGGUGCAUGGAUAAAAUUUAAAUUUUGAAAAUAUCUCAUGCACCGGGAGCAUAAAUUACGAAAAGUGGGACGUUCUCGUAGAUACGAACGGGUAUUAAAAAUAGCAUAUUAGCCCUUUCCCGUUCAUGUAUUUACAAAAUGCUCCGCUUUAAUCAUAUAAUAUUUUAUUGUAUUGACUAAGGUGUAAUAUGAGCAAAGGGAACGGACUAAUCCGCAAUAUUCCCACAAUCCCAUCGUAACCACCCAAUAUCUCUACGAUUCCACCAUAACCAUCCAUUAUUUCACAAUCCCAUCGUGACCAUACAAAAUCUUCCCCACAAUCUUAUUACGAACAACCCAUACCCCACAAUCCCGGAUUCUCAUCGCACGUUUCCCUCAAACCGGUUACAACCACCCAUAUCCCACGACCCCAUCCCACGAUCCUGUAACCACCUCACCCAUACGCACGUUUUCCUCAACCACCCUCAAAUCGUACGCACGUCCCCCUCAAAUCACCCCAUAAAUACCUCUCAAAAAAAAAAUUGGAAAAAA